This 373-nucleotide ribosomal RNA is filed under the name uncultured organism. RNAcentral's name for it is "bacterial SSU rRNA". It matches the Rfam family "Bacterial small subunit ribosomal RNA", at positions 526 to 896 of the family's 1533-position model. The record is from RNAcentral.
CGUAGGGUGCGAGCGUUGUCCGGAAUUAUUGGGCGUAAAGAGCUUGUAGGCGGUUUGUCGCGUCUGCUGUGAAAAUCCGGGGCUCAACCCCGGACUUGCAGUGGGUACGGGCAGACUAGAGUGUGGUAGGGGAGACUGGAAUUCCUGGUGUAGCGGUGAAAUGCGCAGAUAUCAGGAGGAACACCGAUGGCGAAGGCAGGUCUCUGGGCCACUACUGACGCUGAGAAGCGAAAGCGUGGGGAGCGAACAGGAUUAGAUACCCUGGUAGUCCACGCCGUAAACGUUGGGAACUAGGUGUGGGCCUCAUUCCACGAGGUCUGUGCCGCAGCUAACGCAUUAAGUUCCCCGCCUGGGGAGUACGGCCGCAAGGCUA